This 440-nucleotide ribosomal RNA is filed under the name uncultured bacterium. Its description in RNAcentral is "partial 16S ribosomal RNA". It matches the Rfam family "Bacterial small subunit ribosomal RNA", at positions 338 to 795 of the family's 1533-position model. The record is from RNAcentral.
CCUACGGGAGGCUGCAGUAGGGAAUAUUGCUCAAUGGGGGAAACCCUGAAGCAGCAACGCCGCGUGGAGGAUGAAGGUUUUAGGAUUGUAAACUCCUUUUGUGAGAGAAGAUCAUGACGGUAUCUCACGAAUAAGCACCGGCUAACUCCGUGCCAGCAGACGCGGUCAUACGGAGGGUGCAAGCGUUACUUGGAAUAACUGGGCGUAAAGAGUGCGCAGGCGGGCUGGUAAGUCAGAGGUGAAAUCCCGGAGCUUAACUACGGAACUGCAUUUGAAACUGUGAGUCUAGAGUGUGGGAGAGGGAGGUGGAAUUCUUGGUGUAGGGGUAAAAUCCGUAGAGAUCAAGAGGAAUACUCAUGGCGAAGGCGACCCACUGGAACAUUACUGACGCUCAGGCACGAAAGCGUGGGGAGCAAACAGGAUUAGAUACCCUGGUAGUC